Molecule: transfer RNA, 60 nt
Filed under: Romanomermis nielseni
Lineage: Eukaryota; Metazoa; Nematoda; Enoplea; Mermithida; Mermithidae
Description: tRNA-Ile
Source: RNAcentral
UUUAGCACUUUAUCUUAAUAGAGAACAAUUUAAAUUGAUAAUUUAAAUUAAAAAUUAAGA